Molecule: ribosomal RNA, 465 nt
Filed under: Vreelandella stevensii
Lineage: Bacteria; Pseudomonadati; Pseudomonadota; Gammaproteobacteria; Oceanospirillales; Halomonadaceae
Description: partial 16S ribosomal RNA
Rfam family: Bacterial small subunit ribosomal RNA
Source: RNAcentral
CCUACGGGAGGCUGCAGUGGGGAAUAUUGGACAAUGGGCGAAAGCCUGAUCCAGCCAUGCCGCGUGUGUGAAGAAGGCCUUCGGGUUGUAAAGCACUUUCAGUGGGGAAGAAAGCCUUGGGGCUAAUACCCUCGAGGAAGGACAUCACCCACAGAAGAAGCACCGGCUAACUCCGUGCCAGCAGCCGCGGUAAUACGGAGGGUGCGAGCGUUAAUCGGAAUUACUGGGCGUAAAGCGCGCGUAGGCGGUCUGAUAAGCCGGUUGUGAAAGCCCCGGGCUCAACCUGGGAACGGCAUCCGGAACUGGCAGGCUAGAGUGCAGGAGAGGAAGGUAGAAUUCCCGGUGUAGCGGUGAAAUGCGUAGAGAUCUGGAGGAAUACCAGUGGCGAAGGCGGCCUUCUGGACUGACACUGACGCUGAGGUGCGAAAGCGUGGGUAGCAAACAGGAUUAGAUACCCGAGUAGUC